This 1501-nucleotide ribosomal RNA is filed under the name Weissella confusa. RNAcentral's name for it is "bacterial SSU rRNA". It matches the Rfam family "Bacterial small subunit ribosomal RNA". Lineage: Bacteria; Bacillati; Bacillota; Bacilli; Lactobacillales; Lactobacillaceae. The record is from RNAcentral.
GGAUGAACGCUGGCGGCGUGCCUAAUACAUGCAAGUCGAACGCUUUGUGGUUCAACUGAUUUGAAGAGCUUGCUCAGAUAUGACGAUGGACAUUGCAAAGAGUGGCGAACGGGUGAGUAACACGUGGGAAACCUACCUCUUAGCAGGGGAUAACAUUUGGAAACAGAUGCUAAUACCGUAUAACAAUGACAACCGCAUGGUUGUUAUUUAAAAGAUGGUUCUGCUAUCACUAAGAGAUGGUCCCGCGGUGCAUUAGCUAGUUGGUAAGGUAAUGGCUUACCAAGGCGAUGAUGCAUAGCCGAGUUGAGAGACUGAUCGGCCACAAUGGGACUGAGACACGGCCCAUACUCCUACGGGAGGCAGCAGUAGGGAAUCUUCCACAAUGGGCGAAAGCCUGAUGGAGCAACGCCGCGUGUGUGAUGAAGGGUUUCGGCUCGUAAAACACUGUUGUAAGAGAAGAAUGACAUUGAGAGUAACUGUUCAAUGUGUGACGGUAUCUUACCAGAAAGGAACGGCUAAAUACGUGCCAGCAGCCGCGGUAAUACGUAUGUUCCAAGCGUUAUCCGGAUUUAUUGGGCGUAAAGCGAGCGCAGACGGUUAUUUAAGUCUGAAGUGAAAGCCCUCAGCUCAACUGAGGAAUUGCUUUGGAAACUGGAUGACUUGAGUGCAGUAGAGGAAAGUGGAACUCCAUGUGUAGCGGUGAAAUGCGUAGAUAUAUGGAAGAACACCAGUGGCGAAGGCGGCUUUCUGGACUGUAACUGACGUUGAGGCUCGAAAGUGUGGGUAGCAAACAGGAUUAGAUACCCUGGUAGUCCACACCGUAAACGAUGAGUGCUAGGUGUUUGAGGGUUUCCGCCCUUAAGUGCCGCAGCUAACGCAUUAAGCACUCCGCCUGGGGAGUACGACCGCAAGGUUGAAACUCAAAGGAAUUGACGGGGACCCGCACAAGCGGUGGAGCAUGUGGUUUAAUUCGAAGCAACGCGAAGAACCUUACCAGGUCUUGACAUCCCUUGACAACUCCAGAGAUGGAGCGUUCCCUUCGGGGACAAGGUGACAGGUGGUGCAUGGUUGUCGUCAGCUCGUGUCGUGAGAUGUUGGGUUAAGUCCCGCAACGAGCGCAACCCUUAUUACUAGUUGCCAGCAUUCAGUUGGGCACUCUAGUGAGACUGCCGGUGACAAACCGGAGGAAGGUGGGGAUGACGUCAAAUCAUCAUGCCCCUUAUGACCUGGGCUACACACGUGCUACAAUGGCGUAUACAACGAGUUGCCAACCCGCGAGGGUGAGCUAAUCUCUUAAAGUACGUCUCAGUUCGGAUUGUAGGCUGCAACUCGCCUACAUGAAGUCGGAAUCGCUAGUAAUCGCGGAUCAGCACGCCGCGGUGAAUACGUUCCCGGGUCUUGUACACACCGCCCGUCACACCAUGAGAGUUUGUAACACCCAAAGCCGGUGGGGUAACCUUCGGGAGCCAGCCGUCUAAGGUGGGACAGAUGAUUAGGGUGA